GAUUAAUGGCUGGGGAGCUGCUUAGUAUACUGGAUUGUUACACUGGGUUUGACAGGCUGUAUCCCUACACCCUAUGAGAGCCUCACUUUGAAGGUUAAGGUCAAAUAAGUCAAUAUGGAGGAUUUCUUCAAUGAUGUUUGACACAGGGUGACACACUUUGAUACCAAAUUGUGAGUCCGACUCUUUGUCCAUCUGACGCAGUGAACGCCUCACCCGAGCUGACAGUUCGAUGCC
Long non-coding RNA from Gigantopelta aegis, 234 nucleotides. RefSeq lists it as uncharacterized. The transcript is spliced from 3 exons. The record is from RefSeq and is a predicted model, not a curated record. Lineage: Eukaryota; Metazoa; Mollusca; Gastropoda; Neomphalida; Peltospiridae.